AAAGGAAUAGACGGGAACCCGCACAAGCAGUGGAGUAUGUGGUUUAAUUCGACGCAACGCGAAAAACCUUACCAGGAUUUGACAUCCACAGAAAGAGGCGUAAUGGCCUCUGUGCCCUUCGGGGAGCUGUGAGACAGGUGGUGCAUGGUUGUCGUCAGCUCGUGUCGUGAGAUGUUGGGUUAAGUCCCGCAACGAGCGCAACCCUUACUGUUAGUUGCUACGCAAGAGCACUCUAGCAGGACUGCCGUUGACAAAACGGAGGAAGGUGGGGACGACGUCAAAUCAUCAUGCCCUUUAUAUUCUGGGCUACACACGUACUACAAUGGCGCAAACAAAGGGAAGCGAACCCGCGAGGGGGAGCAAAUCUCAUAAAAGGCGUCCCAGUUCAGACUGCAGGCUGCAACCCGCCUGCACGAAGUUGGAAUUGCUAGUAAUCGCGAAUCAGCAUGUCGCGGUGAAUACGUUCCCGGGUUUUGUACACACCGCCCGU
Molecule: ribosomal RNA, 490 nt
Filed under: uncultured bacterium
Lineage: Bacteria
Description: bacterial SSU rRNA
Rfam family: Bacterial small subunit ribosomal RNA
Source: RNAcentral